ACGCUCGACACCUACUGGAGGCAGCAGUAGGGAAUCUUCCACAAUGGGCGCAAGCCUGAUGGAGCAACACCGCGUGAGUGAAGAAGGGUUUCGGCUCGUAAAGCUCUGUUGUUGGAGAAGAACGUGCGUGAGAGUAACUGUUCACGCAGUGACGGUAUCCAACCAGAAAGUCACGGCUAACUACGUGCCAGCACGCCGGUACGGUAAUCUAGGAGGCCGGGCGUGGACGAAGGC
Molecule: ribosomal RNA, 234 nt
Filed under: uncultured bacterium
Lineage: Bacteria
Description: partial 16S ribosomal RNA
Rfam family: Bacterial small subunit ribosomal RNA
Source: RNAcentral